CGGGGGCGGAGCCUGGGCUCCUCUUGACGUUUGCGGCGGACGGGUGAGUAACACGUGGGCAACCUACCUUAUAGUUCCGGGAAACUCCGGGAAACCGGGGCUAAUACCGAAUAAUCUAUUUUACUUCAUGGUGAAAUACUGAAAGACGGUUUCGGCUGUCGCUAUAAAAUGGGGCCCCGGCCCAUUAACUAGUUGGUGAGGUAACCGCUCACCAAGGGGACCAUGCCUAGCCCACCUGAGAGGGUGAUCGGCCCCCCUGGGACUGAAACACGGCCCAAACUCCUUCGGGAGGCAGCAGUAGGGAAUCUUCCACAAUGGGCGAAAGCCUGAUGGAACAACGCCGCGGGAGUGAAAAAAGUUUUUGGAACCUAAAACUCUGUUUGAAGGGAAAAACAAGUACAGUAAU
This 406-nucleotide ribosomal RNA is filed under the name Bacillus sp. TV1AntaA. RNAcentral's name for it is "bacterial SSU rRNA". It matches the Rfam family "Bacterial small subunit ribosomal RNA", at positions 67 to 462 of the family's 1533-position model. The record is from RNAcentral. Lineage: Bacteria; Bacillati; Bacillota; Bacilli; Caryophanales; Bacillaceae.